Molecule: ribosomal RNA, 504 nt
Filed under: uncultured bacterium
Lineage: Bacteria
Description: partial 16S ribosomal RNA
Rfam family: Bacterial small subunit ribosomal RNA
Source: RNAcentral
AUUGAACGCUGGCGGCACGCCUAACACAUGCAAGUCGAGCGGCAGCAUGCUUAGUAGCAAUACUAAGUGAUGGCGAGCGGCGGACGGGUGAGGAACACGUAGGAACCUGCCCAAGAGAGGGGGAUAACUAAGGGAAACUUUAGCUAAUACCGCAUAAUCUCUGAGGAGAAAAGCUGCCCGUAAGGGUAGCGCUUUUGGAGGGGCCUGCGUCCGAUUAGCUAGUUGGUGAGGUAAAAGCUCACCAAGGCGAUGAUCGGUAACUGGUCUGAGAGGACGACCAGUCACACUGGAACUGAGACACGGCCCAGACUCCUACGGGAGGCAGCAGUGGGGAAUCUUGGACAAUGGGGGCAACCCUGAUCCAGCGAUGCCGCGUGGGUGAAGAAGGCCUUCGGGUUGUAAAGCCCUUUAGGCUGGGAAGAAGUGUGCGGGAUGAAUAAUCCUGUACAUUGACGGUACCAGCAGAAUAAGCACCGGCAAACUCUGUGCCAGCAGCCGCGGUAA